GAUGAACCUGGGCCAGCAGCCGGUGUAAAGCUGGGGUUGCAGGGUGUAUCCGGAUUCACUGGGGUUAAAGGGGGUGGAGGCGGGCAGUUAAGUCAGUGUGGAAAUCUCCGGGCUCAACCCGGAAACUGCCAUGGAUACUAUCUGUCGUGAAUUUUGUUGAGGUGGGCAGAAUAUGUCAUGUAGCGGUGAAAUGCAUAGAUAUGACAUAGAAUACCGAUUGCGAAGGCAGCUCACUAAGCAAACAUUGACGCUGAGGCACGAAAGCGUGGGGAUCAAACAGGAUUAGAUACCCGAGUAGUC
RNAcentral lists this ribosomal RNA (300 nucleotides) under uncultured Natronorubrum sp. Its description in RNAcentral is "bacterial SSU rRNA". It matches the Rfam family "Bacterial small subunit ribosomal RNA", at positions 495 to 795 of the family's 1533-position model. Lineage: Archaea; Methanobacteriati; Methanobacteriota; Halobacteria; Halobacteriales; Natrialbaceae. The record is from RNAcentral.